UACGGAGUUACAAAGGACGACAUUAGACGAAUCAUCUGGAAAGAUGAAUCAAAGAAGGUAAUAAUCCUGUAGUCGAAAAUGUUGUCUCUCUUGAGUGGAUCCUGAGUACGACGGAGCACGUGAAAUUCCGUCGGAAUCUGGGAGGACCAUCUCCUAAGGCUAAAUACUCUCUAGUGACCGAUAGUGAACCAGUACCGUGAGGGAAAGGUGAAAAGCACCCCGGAAGGAGAGUGAAAUAGAACCUGAAACCGUGUGCUUACAAGUAGUCAGAGCCCGUUAAUGGGUGAUGGCGUGCCUUUUGUAGAAUGAACCGGCGAGUUACGAUUUGAUGCAAGGUUAAGCAGUAAAUGUGGAGCCGUAGCGAAAGCGAGUCUGAAUAGGGCGUUUAGUAUUUGGUCGUAGACCCGAAACCAGGUGAUCUACCCUUGGUCAGGUUGAAGUUCAGGUAACACUGAAUGGAGGACCGAACCGACUUACGUUGAAAAGUGAGCGGAUGAACUGAGGGUAGCGGAGAAAUUCCAAUCGAACCUGGAGAUAGCUGGUUCUCUCCGAAAUAGCUUUAGGGCUAGCCUCAAGUGAUGAUUAUUGGAGGUAGAGCACUGUUUGGACGAGGGGCCCCUCUCGGGUUACCGAAUUCAGACAAACUCCGAAUGCCAAUUAAUUUAACUUGGGAGUCAGAACAUGGGUGAUAAGGUCCGUGUUCGAAAGGGAAACAGCCCAGACCACCAGCUAAGGUCCCAAAAUAUAUGUUAAGUGGAAAAGGAUGUGGCGUUGCCCAGACAACUAGGAUGUUGGCUUAGAAGCAGCCAUCAUUUAAAGAGUGCGUAAUAGCUCACUAGUCGAGUGACACUGCGCCGAAAAUGUACCGGGGCUAAACAUAUUACCGAAGCUGUGGAUUGUCCUUUGGACAAUGGUAGGAGAGCGUUCUAAGGGCGUUGAAGCAUGAUCGUAAGGACAUGUGGAGCGCUUAGAAGUGAGAAUGCCGGUGUGAGUAGCGAAAGACGGGUGAGAAUCCCGUCCACCGAUUGACUAAGGUUUCCAGAGGAAGGCUCGUCCGCUCUGGGUUAGUCGGGUCCUAAGCUGAGGCCGACAGGCGUAGGCGAUGGAUAACAGGUUGAUAUUCCUGUACCACCUAUAAUCGUUUUAAUCGAUGGGGGGACGCAGUAGGAUAGGCGAAGCGUGCGAUUGGAUUGCACGUCUAAGCAGUAAGGCUGAGUAUUAGGCAAAUCCGGUACUCGUUAAGGCUGAGCUGUGAUGGGGAGAAGACAUUGUGUCUUCGAGUCGUUGAUUUCACACUGCCGAGAAAAGCCUCUAGAUAGAAAAUAGGUGCCCGUACCGCAAACCGACACAGGUAGUCAAGAUGAGAAUUCUAAGGUGAGCGAGCGAACUCUCGUUAAGGAACUCGGCAAAAUGACCCCGUAACUUCGGGAGAAGGGGUGCUCUUUAGGGUUAACGCCCAGAAGAGCCGCAGUGAAUAGGCCCAAGCGACUGUUUAUCAAAAACACAGGUCUCUGCUAAACCGUAAGGUGAUGUAUAGGGGCUGACGCCUGCCCGGUGCUGGAAGGUUAAGAGGAGUGGUUAGCUUCUGCGAAGCUACGAAUCGAAGCCCCAGUAAACGGCGGCCGUAACUAUAACGGUCCUAAGGUAGCGAAAUUCCUUGUCGGGUAAGUUCCGACCCGCACGAAAGGCGUAACGAUUUGGGCACUGUCUCAACGAGAGACUCGGUGAAAUCAUAGUACCUGUGAAGAUGCAGGUUACCCGCGACAGGACGGAAAGACCCCGUGGAGCUUUACUGUAGCCUGAUAUUGAAAUUCGGCACAGCUUGUACAGGAUAGGUAGGAGCCUUUGAAACGUGAGCGCUAGCUUACGUGGAGGCGCUGGUGGGAUACUACCCUAGCUGUGUUGGCUUUCUAACCCGCACCACUUAUCGUGGUGGGAGACAGUGUCAGGCGGGCAGUUUGACUGGGGCGGUCGCCUCCUAAAAGGUAACGGAGGCGCUCAAAGGUUCCCUCAGAAUGGUUGGAAAUCAUUCAUAGAGUGUAAAGGCAUAAGGGAGCUUGACUGCGAGACCUACAAGUCGAGCAGGGUCGAAAGACGGACUUAGUGAUCCGGUGGUUCCGCAUGGAAGGGCCAUCGCUCAACGGAUAAAAGCUACCCCGGGGAUAACAGGCUUAUCUCCCCCAAGAGUUCACAUCGACGGGGAGGUUUGGCACCUCGAUGUCGGCUCAUCGCAUCCUGGGGCUGUAGUCGGUCCCAAGGGUUGGGCUGUUCGCCCAUUAAAGCGGUACGCGAGCUGGGUUCAGAACGUCGUGAGACAGUUCGGUCCCUAUCCGUCGUGGGCGUAGGAAAUUUGAGAGGAGCUGUCCUUAGUACGAGAGGACCGGGAUGGACAUACCUCUGGUGUACCAGUUGUCGUGCCAACGGCAUAGCUGGGUAGCUAUGUGUGGACGGGAUAAGUGCUGAAAGCAUCUAAGCAUGAAGCCCCCCUCAAGAUGAGAUUUCCCAACUUCGGUUAUAAGAUCCCUCAAAGAUGAUGAGGUUAAUAGGUUCGAGGUGGAAGCAUGGUGACAUGUGGAGCUGACGAAUACUAAUCGAUCGAAGACUUAAUCAA
RNAcentral lists this ribosomal RNA (2611 nucleotides) under Staphylococcus aureus M0464. RNAcentral describes it as "bacterial LSU rRNA". It matches the Rfam family "Bacterial large subunit ribosomal RNA", at positions 309 to 2925 of the family's 2925-position model. Lineage: Bacteria; Bacillati; Bacillota; Bacilli; Caryophanales; Staphylococcaceae. The record is from RNAcentral.